This 910-nucleotide long non-coding RNA is filed under the name Capsicum annuum. RNAcentral describes it as "long non-coding RNA (CANN_LNC014841)". The record is from RNAcentral. Lineage: Eukaryota; Viridiplantae; Streptophyta; Magnoliopsida; Solanales; Solanaceae.
GAUUUUUGAAUCAUUAGUGGUACCAUUUUUAAUGUUAUUUUUCGAAGAGAUGAUGGAACAAUUGAGUCUUAUGGCUCAUAAAAUAAAGGUAGUCUUAUCUUUAGAUAUUGUUAAUGCAAUUAUGACCUUUGUGGUUCCCUUAUCCCUUGAUGAUUCCCAUAGCCAAUUUUUUUUGUCUCAUUUUCAAUAAGCUUUUAAUGUUUAACAUAAAGAAUCCUUGGUUAUAUCUUGAGUGUGUGCAACCUUAGCUUGAUGUUAUAAUUAUUUGUGCUAACCGUAACCCUCAUAUCAUGAGGAUGCGGUAUGUGUUUGUCCUUCCUUUGGUUUUGCAAGGUUUGGAUCCGAGAUCGAAUUCUUUUAAAAAGGAGAGGAUGAUACAAUCCAAAUUGCCUCUGGAUCUUUGGAUGGGAUAUUUAUGGUUCUAGAGGUCUUAAAGACAUCUUAGUGUCAUCAAAAGGGUUUCAUGUAAUGAUGUUUGCUCGAGGAAAUGUGAAAAGGGGCUAAAAAGCCUCUUGGAAGGGACAUGAACCCAAUUUGCCUUGGAGGAGCACCCGACCUACUCUAGCGGAUCAAAAGUAGGUCAAAACAGCUUCAUCCUCUCUAGAAAAUCCCUUGAAGUGUGUCACAUCUUCUCCAAAGAUGCUAAAGCAGAUUGCCUUGCUUCAUUAAUGUAAAUGGGUCACUUUUGGGUCCAUUGUAAUAAGUUAAACCCUAAACUAUAAAUAGAUUAGCUUAAUCUUUAUUUCAUUAGUGUUUUUUUGGAUAAUAAAGAUAUGAAAGCUUUUGAGAGAGUGAGUGAUAGCUUGGAAAAGCUUUUGUUGACAUUUAUUUAGAAACGGUGGUUGUAAGGGCGUUUCGAUUCCCUUGUGGUCAACGUAAGAAAUUGGUAUUUGUUGAUAAUUGAUUUGGG